Molecule: transfer RNA, 910 nt
Filed under: uncultured cyanobacterium
Lineage: Bacteria; Bacillati; Cyanobacteriota
Description: 16S-23S ribosomal RNA intergenic spacer
Rfam family: tRNA (bases 342-414)
Source: RNAcentral
CAGGGAUACAACAACUAAUUGUGAUGUCUGAGUAAUUUAUUCUCAGGCCAUGAUUCUGUCAUCUCUAAGGUCGAUCGGUACCUCAAUUUAAGAAUUCAAGAUGAACUGAGCAAUCAGUUUGGAGAUGAAGGUCUUAACUUCAGUUCCUAAACUUUGUCUAGGUCACCCCACAGCGGGUAAAGCCGAGAGCACAUGUAAUUUAAUUAUUUGUGUUUGAUCUGGCAAGCCGAAAGGCGAGCUAGGUUGCGGCGAGAGCCCUGGGCCAUUAGCUCGGUGGUUAGAGCGCACCCCUGAUAAGGGUGAGGUCCCUGGUUCAAGUCCAGGAUGGCCCAUUCGUGUUUGGGGGUUUAGCUCAGUUGGUAGAGCGCCUGCUUUGCAAGCAGGAUGUCAGCGGUUCGAGUCCGCUAACCUCCAUCCAAUGAUGAUGCUCAUCCCUCAAUCUGUAACUGCAAGUUUUGCAGUAAGGAGUUUUGCUGUGUUUGUGAUCUUGACUGUUGUUCGCUGAAGAUUUCAGCUUCUUUUCAUUCUUAAUGAGUUAACCAGAUCGCUGGUUAGUAAGUUUAGUUGAAAAGACGCUGGAUUCAAUCCUGCCCUGGAGACAGGGCUGUUUGAAUGUCAGCAGAACCUUGACAACUGCAUAGGUAAAGUCUGGAAAUAAAGCAUCUCAUGGAUGCUUGAUUCCGGCUUAAGUCUCAUCCAGCAAUGGAUAGGGCUUAAAGCUGGUAUCAAGAAAAUUCUAUUGAGUUUUUAGAGCCGAGAGCUUCCAGUUUUCUUCUGAGCCCGCCGAGGGUUUGGGAGUUUGAUCCUGGCAUUCAAACCGCAUUAGGUGUUCAAAGAGAUUUGAGUAUUAAAUGUAGGUGAAUCUAGAGAGAAUAGGCCUCAACAGCCUGAAGGACUGGGAGUUGAAAUU